GAGGUACUCCCUCCGUUCGGAAUUACUUGUCGUGGAAAUGGAUGUAUUUAGAUGUAUUUUAGUUCUAGAUACAUCCGUUUCCAAGACAAGUAAUUCCGAACGGAGGGAGUAGUAG
This is a non-coding RNA of Triticum aestivum (bread wheat), 115 nucleotides long. The record is from Rfam. NCBI's taxonomy places the organism in Eukaryota, Viridiplantae, Streptophyta, Magnoliopsida, Poales, Poaceae.